CCCUUAGAUGUUCUGGGCUGCACGCGCGCUACACUGAUGCGUUCAACGAGUUUAUGACCUUGCCCGAUAGGGUUGGGUAAUCUUUUUAAAUCGCAUCGUGAUGGGGAUAGAUUAUUGCAAUUAUUAAUCUUCAACGAGGAAUUCCUAGUAAGCGCGAGUCAUCAGCUCGUGCUGAUUACGUCCCUGCCCUUUGUACACACCGCCCGCCGCUCCUACCGAUUGAGUGAUCCGGUGAAUAAUUCGGACUGCAGCAGUGUUCAGUUCCUGAACGUUGCAGCGGAAAGUUUAGUGAACCUUAUCACUUAGAGGAAGGAGAAGUCGUANCA
Molecule: ribosomal RNA, 326 nt
Filed under: uncultured eukaryote
Lineage: Eukaryota
Description: partial 18S ribosomal RNA
Rfam family: Eukaryotic small subunit ribosomal RNA
Source: RNAcentral